This 119-nucleotide ribosomal RNA is filed under the name Oncorhynchus kisutch (coho salmon). Lineage: Eukaryota; Metazoa; Chordata; Actinopteri; Salmoniformes; Salmonidae. The record is from RNAcentral.
GCUUAUGACCGUACCGGCCUGAGUACGCCUGAUCUCGUUUGAUCUCGGAAGCUAAGCAGGGUUGGGCCUGGUUAGUUCUUGGAUGUGAGACUGCCUGGGAAUACCAGGUGCUGUAAGCU